Molecule: ribosomal RNA, 464 nt
Filed under: uncultured bacterium
Lineage: Bacteria
Description: partial 16S ribosomal RNA
Rfam family: Bacterial small subunit ribosomal RNA
Source: RNAcentral
CUACGGGCUGCAGCAGUGGGGAAUUUUGGACAAUGGACGCAAGUCUGAUCCAGCCAUUCCGCGUGCAGGACGAAGGCCUUCGGGUUGUAAACUGCUUUUGUACAGAACGAAAAGGUCUCUAUUAAUACUAGGGGCUCAUGACGGUACUGUAAGAAUAAGCACCGGCUAACUACGUGCCAGCAGCCGCGGUAAUACGUAGGGUGCAAGCGUUAAUCGGAAUUACUGGGCGUAAAGCGUGCGCAGGCGGUUAUGUAAGACAGAGGUGAAAUCCCCGGGCUCAACCUGGGAACUGCCUUUGUGACUGCAUAGCUGGAGUGCGGCAGAGGGGGAUGGAAUUCCGCGUGUAGCAGUGAAAUGCGUAGAUAUGCGGAGGAACACCGAUGGCGAAGGCAAUCCCCUGGGCCUGCACUGACGCUCAUGCACGAAAGCGUGGGGAGCAAACAGGAUUAGAUACCCUUGUAGUC